Molecule: ribosomal RNA, 2923 nt
Filed under: Staphylococcus argenteus
Lineage: Bacteria; Bacillati; Bacillota; Bacilli; Caryophanales; Staphylococcaceae
Description: LSU rRNA
Rfam family: Bacterial large subunit ribosomal RNA
Source: RNAcentral
GAUUAAGUUAUUAAGGGCGCACGGUGGAUGCCUUGGCACUAGAAGCCGAUGAAGGACGUUACUAACGACGAUAUGCUUUGGGGAGCUGUAAGUAAGCUUUGAUCCAGAGAUUUCCGAAUGGGGAAACCCAACAUGAGUUAUGUCAUGUUAUCGAUAUGUGAAUACAUAGCAUAUCAGAAGGCACACCCGGAGAACUGAAACAUCUUAGUACCCGGAGGAAGAGAAAGAAAAUUCGAUUCCCUUAGUAGCGGCGAGCGAAACGGGAAGAGCCCAAACCAACAAGCUUGCUUGUUGGGGUUGUAGGACACUCUAUACGGAGUUACAAAGGACGACAUUAGACGAAUCAUCUGGAAAGAUGAAUCAAAGAAGGUAAUAAUCCUGUAGUCGAAAAUGUUGUCUCUCUUGAGUGGAUCCUGAGUACGACGGAGCACGUGAAAUUCCGUCGGAAUCUGGGAGGACCAUCUCCUAAGGCUAAAUACUCUCUAGUGACCGAUAGUGAACCAGUACCGUGAGGGAAAGGUGAAAAGCACCCCGGAAGGGGAGUGAAAUAGAACCUGAAACCGUGUGCUUACAAGUAGUCAGAGCCCGUUAAUGGGUGAUGGCGUGCCUUUUGUAGAAUGAACCGGCGAGUUACGAUUUGAUGCAAGGUUAAGCAGUAAAUGUGGAGCCGUAGCGAAAGCGAGUCUGAAUAGGGCGUUUAGUAUUUGGUCGUAGACCCGAAACCAGGUGAUCUACCCUUGGUCAGGUUGAAGUUCAGGUAACACUGAAUGGAGGACCGAACCGACUUACGUUGAAAAGUGAGCGGAUGAACUGAGGGUAGCGGAGAAAUUCCAAUCGAACCUGGAGAUAGCUGGUUCUCUCCGAAAUAGCUUUAGGGCUAGCCUCAAGUGAUGAUUAUUGGAGGUAGAGCACUGUUUGGACGAGGGGCCCCUCUCGGGUUACCGAAUUCAGACAAACUCCGAAUGCCAAUUAAUUUAACUUGGGAGUCAGAACAUGGGUGAUAAGGUCCGUGUUCGAAAGGGAAACAGCCCAGACCACCAGCUAAGGUCCCAAAAUAUAUGUUAAGUGGAAAAGGAUGUGGCGUUGCCCAGACAACUAGGAUGUUGGCUUAGAAGCAGCCAUCAUUUAAAGAGUGCGUAAUAGCUCACUAGUCGAGUGACACUGCGCCGAAAAUGUACCGGGGCUAAACAUAUUACCGAAGCUGUGGAUUGUCCUUUGGACAAUGGUAGGAGAGCGUUCUAAGGGCGUUGAAGCAUGAUCGUAAGGACAUGUGGAGCGCUUAGAAGUGAGAAUGCCGGUGUGAGUAGCGAAAGACGGGUGAGAAUCCCGUCCACCGAUUGACUAAGGUUUCCAGAGGAAGGCUCGUCCGCUCUGGGUUAGUCGGGUCCUAAGCUGAGGCCGACAGGCGUAGGCGAUGGAUAACAGGUUGAUAUUCCUGUACCACCUAUAAUCGUUUUAAUCGAUGGGGGGACGCAGUAGGAUAGGCGAAGCGUGCGAUUGGAUUGCACGUCUAAGCAGUAAGGCUGAGUAUUAGGCAAAUCCGGUACUCAUUAAGGCUGAGCUGUGAUGGGGAGAAGACAUUGUGUCUUCGAGUCGUUGAUUUCACACUGCCGAGAAAAGCCUCUAGAUAGAAAAUAGGUGCCCGUACCGCAAACCGACACAGGUAGUCAAGAUGAGAAUUCUAAGGUGAGCGAGCGAACUCUCGUUAAGGAACUCGGCAAAAUGACCCCGUAACUUCGGGAGAAGGGGUGCUCUUUAGGGUUAACGCCCAGAAGAGCCGCAGUGAAUAGGCCCAAGCGACUGUUUAUCAAAAACACAGGUCUCUGCUAAACCGUAAGGUGAUGUAUAGGGGCUGACGCCUGCCCGGUGCUGGAAGGUUAAGAGGAGUGGUUAGCUUCUGCGAAGCUACGAAUCGAAGCCCCAGUAAACGGCGGCCGUAACUAUAACGGUCCUAAGGUAGCGAAAUUCCUUGUCGGGUAAGUUCCGACCCGCACGAAAGGCGUAACGAUUUGGGCACUGUCUCAACGAGAGACUCGGUGAAAUCAUAGUACCUGUGAAGAUGCAGGUUACCCGCGACAGGACGGAAAGACCCCGUGGAGCUUUACUGUAGCCUGAUAUUGAAAUUCGGCACAGCUUGUACAGGAUAGGUAGGAGCCUUUGAAACGUGAGCGCUAGCUUACGUGGAGGCGCUGGUGGGAUACUACCCUAGCUGUGUUGGCUUUCUAACCCGCACCACUUAUCGUGGUGGGAGACAGUGUCAGGCGGGCAGUUUGACUGGGGCGGUCGCCUCCUAAAAGGUAACGGAGGCGCUCAAAGGUUCCCUCAGAAUGGUUGGAAAUCAUUCAUAGAGUGUUAAGGCAUAAGGGAGCUUGACUGCGAGAGCUACAAGUCGAGCAGGGUAGAAAGACGGACUUAGUGAUCCGGUUGUUCAGCAUGGAAGGGCCAUCGCUCAACGGAUAAAAGCUACCCCGGGGAUAACAGGCUUAUCUCCCCCAAGAGUUCACAUCGACGGGGAGGUUUGGCACCUCGAUGUCGGCUCAUCGCAUCCUGGGGCUGUAGUCGGUCCCAAGGGUUGGGCUGUUCGCCCAUUAAAGCGGUACGCGAGCUGGGUUCAGAACGUCGUGAGACAGUUCGGUCCCUAUCCGUCGUGGGCGUAGGAAAUUUGAGAGGAGCUGUCCUUAGUACGAGAGGACCGGGAUGGACAUACCUCUGGUGUACCAGUUGUCGUGCCAACGGCAUAGCUGGGUAGCUAUGUGUGGACGGGAUAAGUGCUGAAAGCAUCUAAGCAUGAAGCCCCCCUCAAGAUGAGAUUUCCCAACUUCGGUUAUAAGAUCCCUCAAAGAUGAUGAGGUUAAUAGGUUCGAGGUGGAAGCAUGGUGACAUGUGGAGCUGACGAAUACUAAUCGAUCGAAGACUUAAUCAA